This 132-nucleotide transfer RNA is filed under the name Micromonospora luteifusca. RNAcentral's name for it is "tRNA-Ser". Lineage: Bacteria; Bacillati; Actinomycetota; Actinomycetes; Micromonosporales; Micromonosporaceae. The record is from RNAcentral.
GGCGGGAGCCUGGUCGGCGCCUGAUCAGGGGAGCGAAGCGCCAGCUCAUCGGCCCUGACGCGGCCAAGAUCGCUGACGCCCUGUAAAUCCGUCGCGAAAGCUUCAGAGGUUCGAAUCCUCUACCCGCCACCA